This 253-nucleotide ribosomal RNA is filed under the name uncultured bacterium. Its description in RNAcentral is "partial 16S ribosomal RNA". It matches the Rfam family "Bacterial small subunit ribosomal RNA", at positions 524 to 776 of the family's 1533-position model. The record is from RNAcentral.
UACAGAGGGUGCAAGCGUUAAUCGGAAUUACUGGGCGUAAAGGGUGCGUAGGUGGUUUUUUAAGUCAGAUGUGAAAAUCCUGGGCUUAACCUGGGACCUGCAUUUGAAACUGGAGAGCUAGAGUUUGGAAGAGGGAGGUGGAAUUCCACGUGUAGCAGUGAAAUGCGUAGAGAUGUGGAGGAACACCGAUGGCGAAGGCAGCCUCCUGGGCCAGUACUGACGCUCAUGCACGAAAGCGUGGGGAGCAAACAGG